ACCAAUCGCGCCCGCUCCGACGUGUCCAGGUCCGCGGCCCCGGGAGCUUGGCGCGGCCCGGCCUGGAUGCUCUGGGCGGAGGGUGCAGGGGAGGGCACGGCGCCGCUUGCUUGGCCUGCGCACCCGGACCUAGAAGCCGGGACGAGCCGGGGGAGAGCCAGGCGCGCGGAAGUCUGAAGGUGCCCUCCAGACACGGCCCCGAUGACUGAACUACAGCAAGAUGUGGAAGACACAAAGCCUGCGAAAGUGCUCGGGAAGAGGGAGAGCAAACUUGGCUCAGCCCACUACCUCUCUCUGAAUGUCUAAAAUGAAGCGGUUUCCUUUCUUCAGCUCAGAGGCUGAGAAUGGUGUGGAGGAGAAAAAGAAAGCCUGCAGGUCGCCAACAGCCCAAUCCCCUACCCCAUCUGUGGAGGCCGAGUCCCCAGACCAGAAGAAAAUCAUUAGCCUACGGUCAAAAUCCAGUUUUGAUGGUGCCUCUUUAGCAAGUGAUAAGAACGACUGUAAAACAGAAAGCAAAAAUGACCCUAAGACUGAAAGAAAAAAGUCUUCAUCUUCCAGCCAGUACAAGGCCAAUAUGCACUUUCACAAGUUGUUUCUUAGUGUCCCAACGGAGGAACCACUGAAGCAAA
Molecule: small RNA, 629 nt
Filed under: Pongo abelii (Sumatran orangutan)
Lineage: Eukaryota; Metazoa; Chordata; Mammalia; Primates; Hominidae
Description: processed transcript
Source: RNAcentral